RNAcentral lists this ribosomal RNA (372 nucleotides) under uncultured organism. RNAcentral describes it as "bacterial SSU rRNA". It matches the Rfam family "Bacterial small subunit ribosomal RNA", at positions 526 to 896 of the family's 1533-position model. The record is from RNAcentral.
CGAGGGGGGCAAAUGUUGUUCGGAAUCACUGGGCGUAAAGGGAGCGUAGGCGGGUUUCUAAGUCAGGUGUUUAAUCCCGGGGCCCAACCCCGGACAGGCACUUGAAACUGGGAAUCUUGAAUAGUGGAGAGGUCAGUGGAAUUGGGGGUGUAGCGGUGGAAUGCGUAGAGAUCCCCAAGAACACCAGUUGCGAAGGCGGCUGACUGGACACAUAUUAACGCUGAGGCUCGAAAGCAUGGGGGAGCAAACAGGAUUAGAUACCCUGGUAGUCCAUGCCAUAAACGAUGAAUACUAGGUUUUGGGCCCGUCAACGGUCCAGAGCCGCAGCUAACGCGUUAAGUAUUCCGCCUGGGGAGUACGGUCGCAAGACUG